UUGUCACUGUCCUGAAUGCCUACUUCAUGCCCUAUGCAGGGUUGACUACCACAAAAACUCAGAAAGCAGUCAGAGGUUAACCCCACACCAGCACCAGCAAGGGGGUGAUUUUACUAGCUCUCUUUGACAAGUGCCCGCUCGUGAUGAAGGAAGGAAGAACACGGCACAUUUCUGCUCUCAGGGACAAUAGAGAAGCAACAGGCUCGAAUGGCUGAAAUUGGAAUUUAAAGAGAUUGUGUUACAAUAGUAAGCGUUGCAUCAUAUCAGACUGGCUAUAUGCCCAAAAUAACUUUUAGUUUUCACCUGAUAGAAUGCUCUGCCACCAUAAACAUUUAUUUUAAGGAGGUUAUUAUUUUUUAGCUAAAAUUUAUUUAGCUACAUAAAUUUAGUGUAUGCUGCAUUAAGACUUUGCAUCCUGUUCUCAUUAAUAACUCUCAAUAGCACGGAGCAGAUACUGUCAACUGUAUUUAGAGGUGAAGUGAUUCCCCCGGAGGUUAAUUAAUUGUCCAGGGAAGUACAGCUACUAAAUCACUGAGGCGGGACCUGAUCCCGGGUGAAACACAAAAAUCCUUUCGGUGAAUUAUGGAGACCAUGAGUCAUCUCGCUCACAGUUUUGUGUCAAGAGUCAGAAGAAUAAAGUCUGACACAUGCCGCUAUAGGAAAUCGUCACGUGUGUGCAGGCAAAAGCUUGGAAGGGAACUUCACGUGCUUCUUGCUUUCGUGUCUAAGAAACUAAGGCAACCAGGACUCGCCGGAAAAUCAGCAAGUCGUCUGCAAGCACAGCACAGUCCCAAAGUCACAAGGCCCAAAAUUGUCACUCUGUCACGGCACAGGGCGAUAGAUGGCUGAGCUCCACCAGACACCGGUCUCUACCACUCAUUUUCUUCACAUCUUGGAGAAAUCGAAGCUCCCCUGCUUCAAGUCAUUAAGAGAAAUACUAGGAAACCUUUUAAAAGAACAACAUCCAUUCUACUGCUGUAACAGCUUGAAGCGCUUUUCACUCCAUGUUAAAAUUAAUCUGAACGAAAAGGGGUCAGCAGUAGUCGUUAGAGACUUCCCUAUCACCUUCCAACUAAGCACUGCUUUCUCGCGUGGAGGCUGGCUGUGUGUCUGAGUGCUGUGCGGGGGCUCGCCUGCAGGGGGCGCCCUAGCUCACACAUGAGGAAACACCUCAGCAAAGUCAGCAGCAGCGCCGGGAUCACCACCUGGAAUCACAGUCUUCUUAUGUUCCGCCUACUGCAACGUGCCUUCCCCUUGGGCGCAGUAGAUGUGAAACCAUAGGAGCAAGUUUUUAGUCACACUUUAAAUUGAUAUCCCCAAGACGGAGCCACAACUUUUUUUUCAAGAUCCCCGAUACAAAGCAUGUCUUAGGGUGCAUCUUUAUGCCUGAACCUCUUACAGUUUGUGAGUCCAUUCACUACCCCUUACAGUAGUGUCUCUCAACUUCCCUAAUCCUCUGAGCCCUUUAAUUCAGUUCCUUGUGUUGUGGUGAGCCCCCAACCAUAAGAGCUAUUAAAGUAAUUCUCUCCAAG
This 1532-nucleotide long non-coding RNA is filed under the name Cricetulus griseus (Chinese hamster). RNAcentral's name for it is "lncRNA (ENSCGRG00000025087.1)". The record is from RNAcentral. Lineage: Eukaryota; Metazoa; Chordata; Mammalia; Rodentia; Cricetidae.